UACGUAGGUGGCAAGCGUUGUCCGGAUUUACUGGGCGUAAAGAGCGCGCAGGCGGUCGGUCAAGUCGGAUGUGAAAGCCCCCGGCUCAACUGGGGAGGGUCAUUCGAUACUGAUCGACUCGAAGGCAGGAGAGGGAAGCGGAAUUCCCGGUGUAGUGGUGAAAUGCGUAGAUAUCGGGAGGAACACCAGAGGCGAAGGCGGCUUCCUGGCCUGUUCUUGACGCUGAGGCGCGAAAGCCAGGGGAGCAAACGGG
RNAcentral lists this ribosomal RNA (253 nucleotides) under uncultured bacterium. RNAcentral's name for it is "partial 16S ribosomal RNA". It matches the Rfam family "Bacterial small subunit ribosomal RNA", at positions 524 to 776 of the family's 1533-position model. The record is from RNAcentral.